CGUUUCCGGUGCAUUUCAGGAUAAGGUGGCCGGAGCUGGUGCCGUGGCGACUGAUGUUCAAUUUUUGUAGUAGAGGAUUCACUCACUGGGCAGUGCAACCACGUCGUCCCUCGUAUACUACUAUGGCUCGGCCAAGUCGUCGUUGCCACCAAAUGUUAAAGAUUUGCUGAACUCAUCCGAGGAGAAAGCUAACAUAGUAUUGCCACCAAUUGGAAGUGCCCUCCAACAGGUAUACAUUAUCAUAGAAGGCAUGAAAUUUUGGCUGAUUGGUUGCAUGUCGCUUCGGAUUUGGUACUAUCUCCAUCUCUCUCUCUCUCUCACACACACACCACUUUCUCUCCGUCUCUCUCUCUCUCUCAGUAUCUGCGUGUGCUUGCUCACGCAGGUGCAUGUGUGUGUGCGCGCGCGUGUGAUGUGCCGUUGACCGCUGUUGUGUGUGCUUGUGGUGAUGUUGCCUGUGAGUGUGAUUUUUGCCGCUAUCCUGCGUGAUUCUUGGUGCCUCGAGGAUGAGAGGAAGCCACCCAGAAAAUGGCCAGAAGGAAGCACCAUAUGUGCAGGUGUGCUCAUGUGUGUUAGAAGGACAAGGACUCGGCAGAUGAUUCCUCCUUGACUUUCUACCAGCUGCGCCCUGACUGCGUUUACAGCGUCCCCACGCCGUGUUCAAGACCAAGUUCUAACCCACAUAUCCAAUCUCCCUCCAUGGAUCUUGCCUCUCAUUGACCAAGAGCAACAAUUCAACUCAAUUUGAGAUUUACAAAAGAGAUGGACCUAGAGCAAACAACCUGCGAGGCUUGGUUCGUGUCCAUCGACAACGUUGCUGCCGUAUGUCAAGUGUGCUACAUCUGGUCGCUCAAGGCCAAGGAGGUGAUGAAAGGCUUCUUGAUAAGUUUUUAGCUAUCUGAUUCAAAUCCAUAUAGCUUGCGAGAUGAUGGCAUAGUAUUAUCUGACAUUUUAUCUGUAUUUGAUUAAAUGUCUUUCCCUUUAAGAAAUAUAGUGCAAUGGAAUUGAAUUUUAGAAACUACCGUUGGUUACUAUUAUUUGUGAAUUCUAUUUAACGCUUCACGAUUUUUUCCCGGUUCCAGUUCUUGUAAAGGAUAUGAUAAUCAUUUAAACAAAGUUGUCAAACUUAAAGAAAAAGAAUCUUCAACUACUGAAAAACAUUAAGGAUUUGCACAUUUGUGCUUGAUCAUGAAGUGAAAUGGACCACAAAGGGACAUUUUAACUUGUUUUAUUGAGAGGGCAUGAGAGGUCUGGAGGGAUCAUCUUCCUUGGCCCAUGAUAAUACAAAAGGUGUCUUUAUAUAUGUGUUUGUUUUCAUAGAGUAUGAGAGAUGGAGAUGAAUUAUGUCGACGUUCAAAAAGAAUAUUU
Molecule: long non-coding RNA, 1368 nt
Organism: Triticum aestivum (bread wheat)
Lineage: Eukaryota; Viridiplantae; Streptophyta; Magnoliopsida; Poales; Poaceae
Exons: 4
Source: RefSeq, a predicted model, not a curated record